RNAcentral lists this ribosomal RNA (253 nucleotides) under uncultured bacterium. RNAcentral describes it as "partial 16S ribosomal RNA". It matches the Rfam family "Bacterial small subunit ribosomal RNA", at positions 524 to 776 of the family's 1533-position model. The record is from RNAcentral.
UACGUAGGGGGCUAGCGUUGUCCGGAAUCAUUGGGCGUAAAGCGCGCGUAGGCGGCCCGGUAAGUCCGCUGUGAAAGUCAAAGGCUCAACCUUUGAAUGUCAGCGGAUACUGCCGGGCUAGAGUCCGGAAGAGGCGAGUGGAAUUCCUGGUGUAGCGGCGGAAUGCGCAGAUAUCAGGAGGAACACCAACGGCGAAGGCAGCUCGCUGGGACGGUACUGACGCUGAGGCGCGAAAGCGUGGGGAGCGAACAGG